UACGUAGGGUGCGAGCGUUAAUCGGAAUUACUGGGCGUAAAGCGUGCGCAGGCGGUUUUGUAAGCCAGAUGUGAAAGCCCCGGGCUUAACCUGGGAAUGGCAUUUGGGACUGCAAGGCUUGAGUGCGGCAGAGGAGACUGGAAUUCCUGGUGUAGCAGUGAAAUGCGUAGAUAUCAGGAGGAAUACCGAUGGCGAAGGCAGGUCUCUGGGCUGACACUGACGCUCAUGCACGAAAGCGUGGGGAGCAAACAGGAU
This 255-nucleotide ribosomal RNA is filed under the name uncultured bacterium. RNAcentral's name for it is "partial 16S ribosomal RNA". It matches the Rfam family "Bacterial small subunit ribosomal RNA", at positions 524 to 778 of the family's 1533-position model. The record is from RNAcentral.